Molecule: long non-coding RNA, 258 nt
Filed under: Lathyrus oleraceus (garden pea)
Lineage: Eukaryota; Viridiplantae; Streptophyta; Magnoliopsida; Fabales; Fabaceae
Description: Pisum sativum (pea) long non-coding RNA (PSAT_LNC039939)
Source: RNAcentral
UCAAGAUAAUUGAUGUUGUUUUAUUUAAGAACCUACGUCGUAUCACUCAUAUCACUGAAAAAUAAAACUAGAAGGUGUACGGAGUUUUUGUAAUGUUUGAAAUCUUUAAACCUCAAUUAUCAAUAAAUUUAAUUUAAAAUAAAAAUAAAUUCUCACUAACAAUCUAUGUUUUAAAUUAGUGCCUUAUUUCUUGUAUGAUUCAAAAUAUAUGAACUCGUCAUAGAUUAAAAAACAUUGAAAAGGAUUGCUAGUUUUUUC